CAGCUACUGCUCUCUUCACCUAAUAUCCUUGGUGAUGGGCUUGGCCUUUUGCAUACCCACCUAGGUACACAAGCUUUUUGUCCUCUCCGCCCACCAGCUCUGUUCCUGCUCCUGGCUGUCAUUUCUCACUUUGGGAAUGUUUCUGUCAAACUAUGUCCUACCUAUUUUUCAAAUUAUUUCUUAACUGAACAUUCUUUGGUUAAUUACUCUUGUGUUUAUCUACCACAGUAGUUCCCCAAACCCUCAGGAUGUUUACAUUGUGUGUGCGCUCUCAUGUUGUAUUUACUGUCCUGUUUCCCCUAUUACGUUUCAAGUCAAUCAACCAGGAAUUACUUAGUACUGACUGUGCAUAUUUUCUAUUGGUAGGGGAAGUAACAGAGAAACAGAAUACAUGUCCUUCACCUCAAGGGGCUCAAUGCAGUGUUGUGCAUUGGAAGCGGGGCAGGGAGGAUGUCAAUAAAAUAGUGAUUAAAAAGUGC
This 479-nucleotide non-coding RNA is filed under the name Pongo abelii (Sumatran orangutan). Lineage: Eukaryota; Metazoa; Chordata; Mammalia; Primates; Hominidae. The record is from RNAcentral.